Molecule: ribosomal RNA, 771 nt
Filed under: uncultured Neocallimastigales
Lineage: Eukaryota; Fungi; Neocallimastigomycota; Neocallimastigomycetes; Neocallimastigales
Description: partial large subunit ribosomal RNA
Rfam family: Eukaryotic large subunit ribosomal RNA
Source: RNAcentral
UCAGACGAUGCGUCAUGCAUAUCAAUAAGCGGAGGAAAAGAAACUAACAAGGAUUCCCUCAGUAACGGCGAGUGAAGCGGGAAGAGCUCAAAUUUGAAAUCUUGAAAGGUCACCUUUCACGAAUUGUAGUUUAAAGAAGUGUUUUCUGUUACGAUCGUAAUAUAAGUUCUUUGGAAUAGGACAUCACAGAGGGUGAGAAUCCCGUCUAUGAUUGCGAUUUGUAGCUUUGUGAUACACUUUCAAAGAGUCGGGUUGUUUGGGAAUGCAGCCCAAAACGGGAGGUAAAUUUCUUCUAAGGCUAAAUAUUGGCGAGAGACCGAUAGCGAACAAGUACCGUGAGGGAAAGAUGAAAAGAACUUUGAAAAGAGAGUUAAAUAGUACGUGAAAUUGUCAAAAGGGAAGCGUUUAACACCAGUGUUGUUUUCUGAAAAUCAACCUCUGUCAGCUUUAUGCAUGUUUGUUUAGACCUAAUCAGCUAUCUUGCAUGUUCUAUUGUUUGCAGUGGUGCACUUUUCAGUUUACAGGUCAACAUCAGUUUUUUUUACCGUAAAAAAGUUAAAGAAAGGUAGCUCAUGGCUCCGGUCGUGAGUGUUAUAGUCUUUUUCCUAUGCGGUAGGAGAGACUGAGGUCUGCAGUGUAGGCUAUUUGGCUAGAUACUCAGGUGCUAUGUGAUACCAUUUCAUAAACAACUUGUUGAUUAUGUUUUGUCUAUUGCAUACUCGCUUGUACUAUCAUACCUACGCUUAGGAUGUUGAAGACUCUACAGAGAUA